Long non-coding RNA from Arabidopsis lyrata subsp. lyrata, 471 nucleotides. RefSeq lists it as uncharacterized. The transcript is spliced from 3 exons. The record is from RefSeq and is a predicted model, not a curated record. Lineage: Eukaryota; Viridiplantae; Streptophyta; Magnoliopsida; Brassicales; Brassicaceae.
UUAAAUCAUUAUGAUAAUGGCGAAUCUAUUUAGAAUAUACAAUUUAUCGUAUUGAUAAUGCCGACUUGGUCUAUUUAGAAUAGAAAUUUCCUUUUUCUGGAUUUCUAGAUAUUUUUAAAUCUUUAAAAUUGUUAAAAGCCCUAUAUUCUCCACUGCCUCUCAGCUCCUAUAAAUACCUUGAUAGGGGUUUUCGUCCCAACUCAUAUUAAUCUAUAGCGUUUUAAACUGUUACAAUAGUUUUAUAUGAGUUUUAAUGGUUUUUAUUUAUGAUUGUAGGUGGAUGCAUGUAAGCUACGUUAUGAACCGAUCGAUGCAUGAAAAUUUGGAUCCUAUUUCGACCGAUAAAUUGGUGGAUGCAUGGAAGCUACGUUGUGAACCGAUCGAUGCAUGAAAAUUUGGAUCCUAUUUCGGCCGAUAAAUUGAUUUAAUUGGCGACGUGAAACGAUGCAUAAUAAUUUGGAAUAGGUCAAC